Acanthosepion pharaonis is the source of this 78-nucleotide non-coding RNA. Lineage: Eukaryota; Metazoa; Mollusca; Cephalopoda; Sepiida; Sepiidae. The record is from the annotation of a GenBank genome assembly.
UGAUCACCGAAGUUAAGCAACGUCGAGCAUGGUCACUACUUAGAUGGGUGACCGCUUGGAAAUAGCAAGUGCUGUAAG